CGGGGCAUAGCGUAGUCCGGUUAGCGCGCUCGGUUUGGGACCGAGAGGUCGCAGGUUCGAAUCCUGCUGCCCCGACCA
Molecule: transfer RNA, 78 nt
Filed under: Candidatus Peregrinibacteria bacterium
Lineage: Bacteria; Candidatus Peregrinibacteriota
Description: tRNA-Pro
Rfam family: tRNA
About the family: Transfer RNA (tRNA) molecules are approximately 80 nucleotides in length.
Source: RNAcentral